Molecule: microRNA precursor, 77 nt
Filed under: Salicornia europaea (common glasswort)
Lineage: Eukaryota; Viridiplantae; Streptophyta; Magnoliopsida; Caryophyllales; Amaranthaceae
Description: miR11029 stem-loop (seu-MIR11029)
Source: miRBase by way of RNAcentral
GUUGGGCUGGACCUGGUCCGCUGGGCUGGUCCUGGUCAUCUGGCUGGACCAGGUCUAUAGUGGAGCAUGGACCCUGU